This 1736-nucleotide long non-coding RNA is filed under the name Helianthus annuus (common sunflower). Its description in RNAcentral is "hypothetical non coding rna". Lineage: Eukaryota; Viridiplantae; Streptophyta; Magnoliopsida; Asterales; Asteraceae. The record is from RNAcentral.
UUUCUUUUCUUCUUCUCUCUAUACGUUGGUGUUCUAACCAAUAAUCACCGAUACGAUAUUCUAUCCGAUCGAUUCAGGUACCAACUAACGGAUGCCAAAGUGUUGUACUUUGUGAAUUUCGUUAAAUGGAUGCCAGAGUACUGUACUUUGUGAAUUUCGUUAAACGAAUGCCAAAGUGCUGUCUAAACAAGACUAUACUUUGUGAAUUUCGUUAAGGUUCGAAUCUCAUGACCAUCGUUAGGUUUGAUGUGGUUUUACACUAAUACGUAUUCCACUCUGUUAAACUAAAUGCUUAACUACCCGAAACUCUAUACCAUACUCUUACAAUCAAAAUGGAUGCUUAAUCAUCAGAAGGUUCAAAACAGUAAAGUAUAUGCUUAAUUAUCAGAAGGAGUAGAAUCAAGAAGCUUUUUUAAUCAAUACUGCAUACUUAUAAUGUGAGUCAUUCUCUUUUUAUCAAAAGUAUUUUAAAAUACCUCAAAUUAUUUUCGAAAUUAUAAUUACAGGGAUUAAGUCGUAGUUAUCGUGAAUCACUGGCAAGUGGGGUAUUGUGCACAUUACUAAUUUCUCACGGUUAGGUUCAUCAACCUAACGGUGAUAAUCAUCACUACUUGGGUGAAAGGACCCAAUAGUGGUAUGACCAUCGUCACCAGGGUGUGACACGGCGCCAGAUAAAAAUAAGAUAGAAGCCAUUGUAAUCGCUCUUAUGCUGUAAUUCAUAACUAAGGUGUCAUUUUAUAAAACCUGAAUGAACUCACCAGUAUUUCCUACUGACCAAAUGUUUUUAAAACGCGUUUCAGGUAAUUACAAUAGAUCGGAAUAAGAGUUGGAUACGGCACCAAAAAGGCUUACAGAAGUGGCUUGAUUUAUCAAUUAAAUUAAAUUAAGAAAAGUUGUUUUAUGUAUUCUGGUUUAUCCCAUAUUAAAGCUACCUUUCAAAACAUGGUUUUAUCCCAUCUAUUCAAUAAAUAAAAUCCGGUGUUUUCUAAACUCUGAUAUUUUUCCUAACUCACGGUCCUGAUGAAAUUUCCGCUUCAAUGCUUUCAAAAUAACCACCGGUACCACCUGGCUGCUCGCGGCUCUCGAUUCCAUCCAGGGUGGGGUCGGGGGUCGUGACAGAAGGUGGUAUCAGAGCCACUGAUUUAAGCCAAUAGGUGUUGUGAUAAUAAUACCUAAGCUUAAAUAAAAGAGUUAGGAAAUUGCUAUUAACUGGUAGCACACAUGAUAGCAUUUAGACUUGAACUUAAGAAAAGAUGCCUUAGUAUAAGCUUUGAGAUAAGCUAAAUACUUGUGCAAAUAAAGUGUGAUGGGUUGCCGUGAGGAUGACAACUAGAACGUUGCAAAAUAUGGUCCGUCAAGUGAAUACUAAUUUCCUGAUUCUUUGUUGAAAGUCAUAAUGCACUUUCCAAAUCAUGAUUUAAGAAAGAUCUAUUUAUGGGAAAUACAAAUUUCUUCUCCAGCAAGACUGGGUAUGGUGUAGCAGACUCUCCAGCUUGUCCGGAUAUAAUGGGGUAACCUCUCCGGCGAGAACCGGAUAAGACAGGGUAUAUAAUAUGUCAAACAAGUGACAAGAUUUCCCUAAAUAUUAUCAUGACCUGAUAUCUGACUUGUUUUUGAAAAUAAGAAUCUGUUAAAUACAUUGACCUUAUGAAGGGUAUGUAUAUUACAGCAUGUGAAAUAUAUGAUUAUAUAGAUAUGUAUAUCUAUAAGGAAUUCCAAAAGUCAUAACAAUUGAC